This 156-nucleotide small nuclear RNA is filed under the name Notamacropus eugenii (tammar wallaby). RNAcentral describes it as "U1 spliceosomal RNA (ENSMEUG00000016988.1)". It matches the Rfam family "U1 spliceosomal RNA". Rfam says of the family: U1 is a small nuclear RNA (snRNA) component of the spliceosome (involved in pre-mRNA splicing). Its 5' end forms complementary base pairs with the 5' splice junction, thus defining the 5' donor site of an intron. Lineage: Eukaryota; Metazoa; Chordata; Mammalia; Diprotodontia; Macropodidae. The record is from RNAcentral.
AUACUUACCUGGCAGGGGUGAUCACAAAGGUGGUUUCCUCAGGGUAGGCUUUAUCCAUUGCACUCCUGAUAGGUCAACCCCUGAGAUUUCCACCAAAGUGGGAAACUUGACUGAAUAAGUUAUGGUAGUUGGGGACUGUGUUUGUGCUCUCCUCAG